AUGAACUCGGCCCUUGUGGCAGAAUUCAGUGUAGAUGAGGUCAAGGCGGCACUAAAGGAAAUUGGGGAUCUGAAGGCCCCAGGGGAGGAUGGCAUGCCGGGAAUCUUUUACAAGCACUAUUGGGAUGAUGUGGGGGCAAGAAUUACACAGGAAGUGCUAGCAUUCCUAAACGGAGGGCCUAUGCCGGCUGACUGGAACAACACAUUGAUAACCCUAAUCCCAAAGAAAGGGCUCGAGAUUUCUCCGCUCUGCCCAAUUUGCCGCAUUCACAAGGAGGACGGGAGCCAUCUCCUCUUUAAAUGCAAGCAAGUCAAGGAGGUGUGGCGCCUUUGUGGACUGGAGGCGGAGAGGCUGCUAUUAAUGGACCAGCGAACGGCAAUGACAAUGGUGGAGAAGUUGAUAGCCUUCCCUAUGGAGAAGCAAGCUCUCAUCGCUACACUCGUGUGGAACUGGUGGUGUGAGCGAAAUAACCGCAGAGAAGGAGGCAAAGGCAAAUUGAACGAGGAACUAGCAUGGAUUAUCCAACAUCAGACGCAUGAAUUCUGCACUCUUCAGCAAACCAAAAAGAACGCUUGUUCAUUACCCAAACAGCGUUGGAUGCCACCACCCGAGGAGUGGAUUAAGAUUAAUAUUGAUGGUUCAUUCAGGCCAGAUGAAAGAAAUGGGGGCUGGGGUGCAGUGUUCAGGGACCAUAUGGGCGAUGUGCUGAUAUGCUUGUUGCUGAAACUGCACUUCAUUUGGCUUCAGACCUGGGAAUGGGCAGGGUGUACUUGGAAACGGAUGCACUUCUACUGA
This 795-nucleotide ribosomal RNA is filed under the name Triticum aestivum (bread wheat). RNAcentral's name for it is "partial small subunit ribosomal RNA". Lineage: Eukaryota; Viridiplantae; Streptophyta; Magnoliopsida; Poales; Poaceae. The record is from RNAcentral.